GCCAACAUAGUAGAUUAUAUUUUGAUUAGAUCACUAGUCGAUUCGAGUAGAUCCAUACCAUCAAGGUUAAUCAGUGUGACUGAUUUAGGUAUCUUUAAACCAAAUUGUGUCUAAUCCCCUACAUGACUUGAAGUCAGUGGAAGGAUUUAUAGCUUGCAGGUCAAUUUUUUCUCUUAUUCUUAAGUCAAUAAAUCAAAUCCUCUAAAUUAUUAGGUCCAAAAAAUAAUAGAGUUAUGAGAUAACUUAGUCAUAGCCUCCCAUUAAGGUGCAUGAUAAUGAGUCUAAUAUU
Molecule: long non-coding RNA, 289 nt
Filed under: Elaeis guineensis (African oil palm)
Lineage: Eukaryota; Viridiplantae; Streptophyta; Magnoliopsida; Arecales; Arecaceae
Description: long non-coding RNA (EGUI_LNC054045)
Source: RNAcentral